UGAAGGUCCCUGAUGAGAGGAGCAGAGCACAGCUCAGAGGAUAGUGCUGUUGUCUUCCUGGGCAUUGAAUCCAAGACCUCACAAAUGCUGGGUGUGUUCCUGUAUGGGGCACAGAACGGUGCAGGAUGUUGUGUUUC
Long non-coding RNA from Urocitellus parryii (Arctic ground squirrel), 137 nucleotides. RefSeq lists it as uncharacterized. The record is from RefSeq and is a predicted model, not a curated record. NCBI's taxonomy places the organism in Eukaryota, Metazoa, Chordata, Mammalia, Rodentia, Sciuridae.